AGAAGAUGUGAAGGGCAUGUAGUGGAUGCCUUGGCACCAGCAGGCGAUGAAGGACGUGGCAAGCUGCGAUAAGCCCCGGAAAGCCGCAAGCAGGCGCUGAUCCGGGGAUUUCCGAAUGGGGUAACCUGAUGCGGGUCAUGCCGCAUCGUUCCGCUCCGAAUCAAAUAGGAGCGGAGACGCAAGACCGCCUGAAGUGAAACAUCUCAGUAGGGCGAGGAAAAGAAAGCGAAAGCGAUUCCGUCAGUAGUGGCGAACGAAAGCGGAGCAGCCCAAACCGGGGGGAUUCCUCCCGGGGUUGUAGGGGCCCAAUGUGGCAGGUGAAAAGCUAGGUCAAGCGGAUGGAAAGCCGCUCCAAAGAGGGUGAGAGACCCGUGACCGAAAGCCGGACACCGCCUAGGGAUUCCCUGAGUAAUGCGACACACGUGAAACUUCGCAUGAAACUGUGCCGACCACGGCAUAAGGCUAAAUACUCGCUGGUGACCGACAGUGAACAAGUACCGCGAGGGAAAGGUGAAAAGAACCGCCGUGAGCGAAGUGAAAAAGUACCUGAAACCACAUGCCCGCAAGGUGUCAGAGCCCGCAAGGGUGAUGGCGUGCCUUUUGCAAAAUGAGUCUGCGAGUCAGUCUGUGUGGCAAGCCUAAGCCCUUCUGGGGUGGAGGCGGAGCGAAAGCGAGUCCGAACAGGGCGCUAAGUCGCACGGGCUGAACCCGAAGCGGUGGUGAUCUACCCAUGGCCAGGUUGAAGCGUCCGUAAAAGGGCGUGGAGGACCGAACUGGUGGACCUUGAGACGUCCUCGGAUGAGUUGUGGGUAGGGGUGAAAGGCCAAUCAAACCCCGUAAUAGCUGGUUCUCCCCGAAAUGUAUUUAGGUGCAGCGUCAAGCGCUGAUCGAGGGGGGUAGAGCACUGAAUGAGCUAGGGGGCACACCCGCCUACCAAACUCAAUCAAACUCCGAAUACCCUUGAGUGCAGCUUGGCAGUAAGACUGUGGGGGAUAAGCUUCAUAGUCGAAAGGGAAACAGCCCAGCCCGGCAGCUAAGGUGCCAAAACAACGCUCAGUGGAAAGGAAGUGGGAUUUCAUUGACAGUGAGGAUGUUGGCUUAGAAGCAGCCACCAUUUAAACAGUGCGUAAUAGCUGACUCAUCGAGAGGUCCCGCGCCGAAAAUGAUUGGCGAUCAAGCGUUGUACCGAAGCUCCGGACUGCAUGAGCCGAGGCUCGUGCUUUGGUAGGGGAGCGUUCCGUGGGCGUCGAAGCGGGAAGGCGACUGACCGUGGAGCUCACAGAAGUGAGGAUGCAGACAUAAGUAACGUUAAGACGUGUGAAAUCCACGUCCGCCGUAAACCCAAGGUUUCCUGGGCAACGACCUUCGUCCCAGGGUUAGUCGGGAGCUAAGUCCAGGCCGAGAGGCGUAGGCGAUGCACAGCGGGUCAACAUUCCCGCACCGGUGAUGGUUAAAGCAAAGGUUAGCGUUGGAGGAGAAGGCACGCCGGCUGAAAGUGGCGGAAGGGUGAGGACUUGUCCGAUCCCGGUCUUUUGAAUCCGGCGCCGAGAAAAGCCUCUGCCCCUUUCCAUCGCCGCCCGUACCGCAAACCGACACAGGUGGGUGGGUAGAAUAUACCAAGGCGCAAGAGUGAAACCCCGUUAAGGAACUCUGCAAUCUAGUCCCGUAACUUCGGGAGAAGGGAUGCCCUCCUUGGAGGGCCGCAGUGAAAAGGCCCAACCGACUGUUUAUCAAAAACACAGCACUCUGCCAAGACGAAAGUCCAAGUAUAGGGUGUGACACGUGACCAAUGCGGAAAGAUUAAGGCAAGGGGUCAGCCGCAAGGCGAAGCUCUGAACCCAAGUCCCCGUGAAUGUCGGCCGUAACUAUAACGGUCCUAAGGUAGCGAAAUUCCUUGUC
This 1899-nucleotide ribosomal RNA is filed under the name bioreactor sludge metagenome. Its description in RNAcentral is "bacterial LSU rRNA". It matches the Rfam family "Bacterial large subunit ribosomal RNA", at positions 1 to 1973 of the family's 2925-position model. The record is from RNAcentral.